CAAAUAUGAAGGCGGGCUGGAACCUCUCGGGGUUACAGCCUUGCUGAAUUAUUCACCCUUGUCUUUUGCGUACUUCUUGUUUCCUUGGUGGGUUCGCCCACCACUAGGACAAACAUAAACCUUUUGUAAUUGCAAUCAGCGUCAGUAACAAAUUAAUAAUUACAACUUUCAACAACGGAUCUCUUGGUUCUGGCAUCGAUGAAGAACGCAGCGAAAUGCGAUAAGUAGUGUGAAUUGCAGAAUUCAGUGAAUCAUCGAAUCUUUGAACGCACAUUGCGCCCUUUGGUAUUCCAAAGGGCAUGCCUGUUCGAGCGUCAUUUGUACCCUCAAGCUUUGCUUGGUGUUGGGCGUCUUGUCUCUAGCUUUGCUGGAGACUCGCCUUAAAGUAAUUGGCAGCCGGCCUACUGGUUUCGGAGCGCAGCACAAGUCGCACUCUCUAUCAGCAAAGGUCUAGCAUCCAUUAAGCCUUUUUUUCAACUUUUGACCUCGGAUCAGGUAGGGAUACCCGCUGAACUUAAGCAUAUCAAUAAGCGGAGGAAAAGAAACCAACAGGGAUUGCCCUAGUAACGGCGAGUGAAGCGGCAACAGCUCAAAUUUGAAAUCUGGCUCUUUUAGAGUCCGAGUUGUAAUUUGCAGAGGGCGCUUUGGCUUUGGCAGCGGUCCAAGUUCCUUGGAACAGGACGUCACAGAGGGUGAGAAUCCCGUACGUGGUCGCUGGCUAUUGCCGUGUAAAGCCCCUUCGACGAGUCGAGUUGUUUGGGAAUGCAGCUCUAAAUGGGAGGUACAUUUCUUCUAAAGCUAAAUAUUGGCCAGAGACCGAUAGCGCACAAGUAGAGUGAUCGAAAGAUGAAAAGCACUUUGGAAAGAGAGUCAAACAGCACGUGAAAUUGUUGAAAGGGAAGCGCUUGCAGCCAGACUUGCUUACAGUUGCUCAUCCGGGUUUCUACCCGGUGCACUCUUCUGUAGGCAGGCCAGCAUCAGUUUGGGCGGUAGGAUAAAGGUCUCUGUCACGUACCUCCUUU
Molecule: ribosomal RNA, 1022 nt
Filed under: Dothideomycetes sp. genotype 46
Lineage: Eukaryota; Fungi; Ascomycota; Dothideomycetes
Description: eukaryotic LSU rRNA
Rfam family: Eukaryotic large subunit ribosomal RNA (bases 482-1022)
Source: RNAcentral